GAGCUGUAGAUGGCUAUCAAGAGAAAGCGAGAGAGAAGAAAAGCGCAUGAAGGAGACAAUGAGAAAUCAAUGGUCAAUACGAAGGAGGCUGAUGAUGAGAGAUGAAGGGGGUAGAGAUAUAUUUCUCACCAUCUGCUAAUAUCGGGUGGGGUGUGGGUGAAAAAAUUCUGUCUUUAAAUUUGCUACAGGUGUCUCAUGCAACAAAAUUAAAAAAUGUUCCCGUUUUGAUUUAUUUUUUUCCAAAAAAGAGCUUCACCAUCAAUGGCUUCGUUCUACCCUAGUGGAAGAAGAAUCAACAUACAGCAUUGCAAUUGCUGGAAUUUCUCACAAAUAAUAACAAAGCUUUGGGAUGUCUUUGCGCCAAUUCCUGGAGGGACAAUCCAGACCUAACUCUGAAGAUGUGUAGAACCUAAUGAUGCAGGAAAGGUGGGGAAAAAACCGCAGUUCAAUCAUAACACUCGCUAAAAGUCUGUUGGUUAAAAUGGAAUUCUUCAAAGUAAGUAUACUUAGGAGAGCCUCCAUUAAAUGUAUAUGGAUUUCGCAGCCCAAACAGCUAAUUUUUUUUUUUGUUCUCCAGAGAUUCACAAAAGCCAAACAUUGAUCAGGGGUAACUUUUUUCUUGGCUUUAUACUUCCAUAAGUGCCAUCACCACAAUACUACUGCUAUUUUAUUUAUUUAUUUAUUUCUCUUAAUAGACAUUGAGUAAUGAGUGCUUGUAUAUGAGGGCAGAAACUAAUCUAUAAUUCAUGUUGCACUACAUGGUUGCAUAUUUAAUCUGUAGGAAUACUUCGACCACUCCUGAAAUCCCUACCACAAGAAACCGUAUGGCACCAGGUGCCCAAAAAUACAAUGCUGUGCAUGCUGACCAAAAUUUUGUUGCCAUAUUACACAUGAGUAUUUCAUAGAGGGAGUUGGAAAUGUUUGAGAAACAGUCAUAUUUAGUUCAAAGGUGAGGAAGAACAGUUAUGUGUAUAUGGUUGCUUAUGGCAAGUGAGGAAGUCCGUACACAUUUGGUGAUGCAUUCUGUAAUGAAAUAUGGCAUUUCCCAAACUAGGUGGUACUUCUAACUCCAUGAUUUUUUGUGUGUCAGGAGUGACUUGAGAAACUGUGAGUUGCUUCUGACUUGGGAGAAUUGGCCAUCUGCAAGGACGUUGCCCAGGGGACGCCCAGAUGUUUUACAAUCCUGUGGAAGACUUCUCUCAUGUCCCCGCAUGGAAAGCUGGAGCUGACAGUCGGGAGCUCACCCCAUUCCCGGAUUCGAACCACCAGCCUUUUAGUCAGCAGUCCUGCCGGCACACAUGUUUAAACCAUUGUGCCACCGGGGGCUCCACAACUCCAUGAUUAUAAAAUGAUAUUCCAUCUAUUCAAUGCAAAGUCUGAGCCAAUAUUUAACAUCUCUUCUCUCUUGCCUAUGCCCGAGCCAGCAAAUAAGGGGUAUUUUGUAGGCGCAGAGUUGGGGCAAUGAUCUGUGUUGAUAACAGGACAUGAAACCUGCUGACCUACAUGUUAGGAGAGAGAGUAGUACUUACUCUGGAACUAGGUUUUUCUGGCAACAACUCUGUUUUAUUCUGUUUUAUUAUACUCGCCGGUAAGAAAACUGUGCACAAGCGAACCAACAAUAAACACGUUUCCCAUUGAUUUCAGUGAUAGAGAUAAGCACAGGCUUAAAUCUAUCCGAUUAAAAUCAAUGGAACUUGAAAGCACUUUAUUUAAUUAUCCCUCUGCCCUUAGAUGUAGACAUUUUGAUGUUGCGGCAUGUUAGUUUGACUUCAGUUAGCAAUAAUAUGAAAGUUUGAGUUCAAAAAAAAGAUGGUGGUGGUGGUGGUGGUGAUAUAGUUGAAACAAGCAUGAGGGAUAUGGUCAAGAUCAAGAUGUAAAAGUUUCCCCUUGACAUUAAGUCAAGUCAAGUUUGACUCUGGGGGUUGGUGUUCAUCUCCAUUUCUAAGUCAAAGAGCUGGUGUUGUCCAUAGAUGCCUCCUAGGUCAUGUGGCCGGCAUUUGCAUAUUUUUGAAAUACAGAAGCUGGGUCUAAUGACAGAAGCUCACCCCACUCUGUGGAUUCGAACCGCCAACCUUUCGGUCAGCAAGUUCUGCAGCUCAGUGGUUUAACCCCCUGCGUCACUGCAAUCCCAAAAUCAAGAUGAGAAUCAGGAAAAACAUAGUUUUGGGGAAAUGCCUUAUAUCAACUAGGACAGCACCUGCUCUUCUCUUCCCCCACUCUCCAACCACUCCAUUCAAAUGAAAAAGGAAGCGAUUAAAAAAAAACCUGUUCAAUGCUUCAGUUAUUUUUCAUUUCAGAGGCAUGGUGUAUCUAUUGAUGAAAUAAUUCCUACCACAGUCUUGAACCAAAGUAAACUUACUCUAUUUAUAUAUAUAA
Long non-coding RNA from Anolis carolinensis (green anole), 2376 nucleotides. RefSeq lists it as uncharacterized. The record is from RefSeq and is a predicted model, not a curated record. NCBI's taxonomy places the organism in Eukaryota, Metazoa, Chordata, Lepidosauria, Squamata, Anolidae. The transcript has 2 exons.